AAACCAUGAUGUGGACACUUUCUCAAUAACUCAUUAUAUCUUUCUGAUGCCUCAAACAAGGAUUCACUAUCGCUCUGAACAAAUGAUGUUAUAUCAUUCCUCAUCUU
Small nucleolar RNA from Pistacia vera, 107 nucleotides. The record is from RefSeq and is a predicted model, not a curated record. Lineage: Eukaryota; Viridiplantae; Streptophyta; Magnoliopsida; Sapindales; Anacardiaceae.